CUCGGCGGAGGGGCCCGGCGGGAACAAACAGCCGCCUCGGCCGGAGCGCUGCUCGGGUGGCCGGAGGCAGAUUCUCCUCUUGCCCGCAGAUCCCGCAAACCCUCGCUCCCUGGAGCCGCUGCCUUCACUGCGCUCAGCCCUGGAUGGUAAGGGUUCACGCGGGUGCCAGCUGGAGCUGGGAGUAGCAGCGGCAGUCCCCCACCCGUCAUCUCCCCAAGGCAGCGCCCGGGCCACCGAGGCCAAAGCGCAGUUGGAGCCGCACCAGCGGAGCCUGAGACGCCGGGACCAACGCUGCCGGAGCGGGGCCCGAAGGAACCCGAGCGGCUUCCGGCCCAAGGCGAGACGCACUUGAGUGAUCGCAAGGAGCAAAGUUGGCGUUCUCAGAUUUGGGCCUCGGAGAGGUGAAGCACAACCCUGAAGAUUACCUGAAGGAGCUUCUCUACUGACAUGCUGGCCUGUGUCCUUGCCAAGGACGUCACUUUCCUAGACAUUUCUCAUCUCUUCCCCACUAUUUCAAGAUCCCAGGGACAGUGACUUGUAUGGCAAACAAGAUUUGAAUUCAGAAUUCAAGAAGCACUUCCCGACUUCAGCCAAGUAAGAAGGAACUUCUUCUUCCUGUCUGUGGAAAUUUCUUGAAUUUGAAAGGAAUUUAUCAUGAAGUUCUGUGAGGCAGAAGGAGGGACCGUAACACCAUUUGAAGCAGAAGCGACUCUACUGCAGAUCAGUGGGAGGACUGCAAGUGAGAAUGGUUUUUCAGAUGAUGGGGCAGCCCACUAACUCUUCCUGAAGUCAAGGAGCCCCUGGUGUUGCUUGUCUCAGAAAUGAAGAGCUAUCCUGGGGUCUGGAGGAGCUCAGCCAGGUUCCAGUCUGUGUCAAAGGGGAGUGCUCUCUCAGUAGGAAACGGAACGGACAGUACCCCUACGCGUCCUUCCAAUCCCAGCUGGGGCAGAGAUGAGAGCCGCCCAGAGCCAACUUGCCAACCCUCAGUAUCCUGAUGCUGUGCUGGUCAAAGAGGUGUCAAACCCACCCCAGGACGUUAGACUAUGGAGAAAGGCUGCUCCUGAACCAGGGAUGAAAGAAGCAGCCCCAGCCUUACCCACAGAGCCUGAACUCUGCAACACCCUCUGGGCUGAGUGGCCUGCACCAGCCUCGGGAAAUGGAACAGGGGCAGCAGGCCUGACUCUGCAGAGAGAGCAUCAGAGAAGAACCCAGGAGGAGGCUGCCCCUCGUCGUGCAUCUUCAUUCCUCAAGCACUCUCAUUCAGCAAAUCCCAAGGACCUGUGUCUAGACUGUCCUAGGUGCUGGGUCAGUGAAGAGUCAGACUGUCCUCUGCCUUCGCUAUGCCCAGGAGAGGGCAGCCAUGCAGCCACUGCCCAUACAGGGUGGUCAGUGUAUGAUGCGGGCAGAGAAGGGAUGGUAGGGGCACAGAAAAGGGAGCCCACCGAGCCUGGCAGAGCCAGAAGGCUUCCUGAGAGGGUAGAAGUCCAGCUGCAGGGGAGCAGGCCCAGGCUGGAUGAGGGCUCAUUCUCUGUGCCCCCACCUCAUCUCAUCACUGCACUUACUGAAUUUCCAUGUGUCUGUUUCCCACAUUACGGGUACCGUGUCUCACUCAUAUUUGAAUCCCUGGCACGUAGUAUAGUGCCUGGUACAAGUUGAUAGUGGAUAAAUGUGAAUCAGAUGGUUGGAAGGAUGGCUAAGUAAUGGGACAAGAAAAUCACGGGUGCAAAGACAAGAGAAUAUAGUCCAUUCUGGGAAGUGCAAGACUUUCAGUAUUUUUCUACUAAAAAUGAGAUGAGCUCAAUAUCCGUGACAACCUAAUUGGGCAAAGAAUUUAUAAAAGAAUAGAUGCAUAUAUAUGUAUAACUGAAUCAUUUUGUUGUAUACCUGAAACUAAUACAAUGUUGUUAAUCAACUGUGUGCUCCAAUAUAAAAUAAAAAGUUAAAAAAAUUAGAUGAGCUAAAUACCUGUAAAAUUCUUAGGACACUGCCUGACGCAUCAAUACUGCUUGUUAACUGUUUUAACUUUUUAAAAUUAUUAUUUUUCAAUAAAGCUUUAAUUAUUUGCUUAUUUUAGUGAAAACAUUGAACUUUUGUUGUUUUGAAUACAUUUAUUAAUAGAACAUAGGUCUUGGUAAGUGGUGCCUAUGACUAUAACAGUUUUUCUAAGAUGAAGACUAUAUAUUUUUCUGACAAAAUUUUGUGAAAAAGACAAAAGUUGUGAACCAAAUAAUAAUAAAUAUUGUAAAUCAUGUCAAAAUAAGCAGAUCAACAAUGUGAUGAAAAAAAUC
Long non-coding RNA from Dama dama (fallow deer), 2288 nucleotides. RefSeq lists it as uncharacterized. The record is from RefSeq and is a predicted model, not a curated record. Lineage: Eukaryota; Metazoa; Chordata; Mammalia; Artiodactyla; Cervidae. The transcript has 7 exons.